This 253-nucleotide ribosomal RNA is filed under the name uncultured bacterium. RNAcentral's name for it is "partial 16S ribosomal RNA". It matches the Rfam family "Bacterial small subunit ribosomal RNA", at positions 524 to 776 of the family's 1533-position model. The record is from RNAcentral.
UACGUAGGGCGCAAGCGUUGUCCGGAAUUAUUGGGCGUAAAGCGCACGUAGGCGGCUUUGUAAGUCGGAUGUGAAAUCCCUCGGCUUAACCAAGGAAGUGCAUCCGAAACUACAGAGCUUGAGUACUUAAGAGGAUCGCGGAAUUCCCGGUGUAGAGGUGAAAUUCGUAGAUAUCGGGAGGAACACCAGUGGCGAAGGCGGCGAUCUGGGAAGAUACUGACGCUGAGGUGCGAAAGCGUGGGGAGCAAACAGG